GCAAACUUGGUCAUUUAGAGGAAGUAAAAGUCGUAACAAGGUCUCCGUUGGUGAACCAGCGGAGGGAUCAUUACCGAGUUCUAAAAGACUCCCAAACCAUUGUGAACGUACCGUUUUCGUUGCCUCGGCAGGCCGCGCCUACCCUGGAGCUACCCUGGAGCUACCCUGUAGCUACCCGGGAGGCGCGCCACAGGGCCUGCCGGUGGCCUACCAAACUCUUGUCAUCUUGAGAAAUUCUGAGUCCAUAAGUAAAUAAGUUAAAACUUUCAACAACGGAUCUCUUGGUUCUGGCAUCGAUGAAGAACGCAGC
This 310-nucleotide unclassified non-coding RNA is filed under the name uncultured fungus. Its description in RNAcentral is "partial contains small subunit ribosomal RNA, internal transcribed spacer 1, and 5.8S ribosomal RNA". The stretch from base 1 to 73 matches the Rfam family "Eukaryotic small subunit ribosomal RNA", at positions 1759 to 1831 of the family's 1831-position model. The record is from RNAcentral. Lineage: Eukaryota; Fungi.